Passer domesticus (house sparrow) is the source of this 614-nucleotide long non-coding RNA. RefSeq lists it as uncharacterized. The record is from RefSeq and is a predicted model, not a curated record. Lineage: Eukaryota; Metazoa; Chordata; Aves; Passeriformes; Passeridae. The transcript is spliced from 3 exons.
AGUUCCCAGCUACUGUAACAACUGCAACUGGAGAUGAGCAGACAACCUGACACACUAUCCACAGAAAUACCUCGUGGUGGAAAAAAGCCACUUCACAUCCUUUCCACUUCUCAAAGUUAUGGUGCCAACCAAAAAUAUAAGCCCAUCAGCUCAGAAGACUUGUUCUUAAAUUACAUGUAAAGGCCUAUAAGUGGAAUUAUCAUUCUGAAGAAAACUUAGGAUUUCAACUUGUUUCAACAAUACAUCUUUGCUGAACACUGUUAUUUCCUCCCACAAAUAUGAUUAAUGCAGCACCACCAUAAGGAGCUCAAAGAGGAGAUGACCAAAGAAAAGAACAAUGCAGACAUCCCAUCUAUUCCCUGAUGCCAACCAAAAAUCAACUGUACAGAAGGCAGAAAGUCACAGAGGAGCUGCCUGCAGUCACUGCAGUCCCAGACACAAAGCAGCUCCUGCAGCACCAGCAUCUAACACCCCAAUUUUGCCUCUAUAUGGUAUCUGCUUAAAUCCCAAGUCCAAACUACUAAUGAUAAUAGUGUUAUGUACACACUGCAUUCAGAAGGACAAAAGCUUUCUUAUCAAAGCCGGAAGGCAUUUGAGGGCAGAAAAGAAACAAA